GACGAACGCUGGCGGCGUGCUUAACACAUGCAAGUCGAACGGAAAGGCCCUGCUUGCCGGGUACUCGAGUAGCGAACGGGUGAGUAACACGUGGGUGAUCUGCCCUGCACUUCGGGAUAAGCCUGGGAAACUGGGUCUAAUACCGGAUAGGAGCCAUUUUUAGUGUGAUGGUUGGAAAGUUUUUUCGGUGUAGGAUGAGCUCGCGGCCUAUCAGCUUGUUGGUGGGGUAAUGGCCUACCAAGGCGGCGACGGGUAGCCGGCCUGAGAGGGUGGACGGCCACAUUGGGACUGAGAUACGGCCCAGACUCCUACGGGAGGCAGCAGUGGGGAAUAUUGCACAAUGGGCGCAAGCCUGAUGCAGCGACGCCGCGUGGGGGAUGACGGCCUUCGGGUUGUAAACUCCUUUCGCUAGGGACGAAGCUUUUUGUGACGGUACCUAGAGAAGAAGCACCGGCUAACUACGUG
RNAcentral lists this ribosomal RNA (465 nucleotides) under uncultured bacterium. RNAcentral's name for it is "partial 16S ribosomal RNA". It matches the Rfam family "Bacterial small subunit ribosomal RNA", at positions 28 to 507 of the family's 1533-position model. The record is from RNAcentral.